CGAUUCGCCCCCCUCCUUUCCUUAUUAUUUUCCCUUUCUCCCACCAUUUUUUUACAUAAACGGCCACCACUCCACCACCGAGUGCCAACGCACGCUACCUCCGCAUGCCGUCGCACACUACCAUUGGAACCGCGACUCGGGACACAAUUUCAUUGCAUUGUUCUAAGUUGAAGGAUACCUAGUGAUGUCAUUGCAACUAUAAAGGCUCGUUUACAGACGAUCAAGAAGGGUGAAAAAGUAGGCCAAUUAAAAUUGUUUUACAAAAGUCACUUCUCAGAGAAUGAUGGAUGGAUAAGCGAAGCCGCCAAAAAAGCAUAUAGGAGAUUAGAAAGUCAUCACAAGAUGGGGGUUGAACCAACAACGAAGAAAAUUAUUUGUGAACGAGUUUUGGAAAAACGAUCAAGCCACACUAAAGGUCUUGGAUUGAACCCAAAACCCAAUUUAGCUACAUCUUCCUCACAAAUUGAGAAAGAUAUUGGGAAUAAGUAUGAAAAGCUUGAGGCGGAGGUGAUAAGCUUAAAGGAGGAAAAUGUCACGUUGAUGUCAAUAGUUUCGGGUUUUCAAGAUCAAUUGACUGAAAUCACAAGACAGUUAGGUGCGCAACAAAAGUAAGGAGAUGGACCUUCGAACAACUAGGUACAUUAUGACAACUUUCAGUUCUUAGUUAGUGGAUUUAGAAACUUAAUUUGGUUGUUGUGUGGUUAUCCUGUAGUUAUAGUAGCCACUUCAAAUAUAAGCGUUUUAGUGGAUUUAGGAACUUCAUUUGUUUGUUUUGUGGCUAUCCUGCACUAAUGGUAGCCACUUUAAAUAUGUGUGUUUUUGUGUACUUGUUACCACCUUGUGGUUUAAAUGGCAUUUAGGUGGAACUAGGACACGUUCGUAGCAUGGGGAGGGGGGGAGGAAAGAUGUAUAUGUUGUAAUUGUUUUUUAGAUUAUCUAGAAGUCUAAUUGUGCACUUUAAAGGAACUUUGUUCUUAGAUUUAUUGUAGGGAUCCAAGAGUUUAAUUAUAUCAUUUUAGAACUAUCGAAUGACGGGUUUAUCCUUGAAAGAAAUUUAGGUGGAUUUAGGAAGGAAUUCACUUCAAUGCUUUUUAUGUAUUUGUUGCUACUUUGUGGUUUAAAUGACGUUUAGGUGGAACUAGGACACAUUUGUAACUUUGUAGCUUAAGAGAGA
Molecule: long non-coding RNA, 1174 nt
Organism: Benincasa hispida (wax gourd)
Lineage: Eukaryota; Viridiplantae; Streptophyta; Magnoliopsida; Cucurbitales; Cucurbitaceae
Source: RefSeq, a predicted model, not a curated record